AACCCAUAAUGAGGGCACAUUCUCAAAAGAUUUGUAAAUCUCUCCUGUGCAUCAUAUAAUGUCUCCAAUUCAAUUUGAGCAAAAGAAGAGAUAUCAUUCCUCAACUU
Gossypium hirsutum (cotton) is the source of this 107-nucleotide non-coding RNA. The record is from Rfam. Lineage: Eukaryota; Viridiplantae; Streptophyta; Magnoliopsida; Malvales; Malvaceae.